Molecule: non-coding RNA, 75 nt
Organism: Myotis lucifugus (little brown bat)
Lineage: Eukaryota; Metazoa; Chordata; Mammalia; Chiroptera; Vespertilionidae
Source: Rfam
GGCAGUUCUGGGGUGACACAUCCAGGAAUCGGGCUCCCUCCUCUCUGGUUCUGGGUGCGUUACCCAAGAACCGCA